GUGGAACUAGCGCUGGCUUUAGUGGAAACUGCUCUCUUGCAGAAUAAGUAAGAGCUUGUCACUACUGCAGAAGGUGACUGUGAGUGGGUCUUGCUCCUCUGACAUGCUAAAUAAAACACAUACCUUAUGACAAACACUUUGCAGGAUUCAGCCUCAGCAUGCUCAGUCUUUUGUUGUAUCAAAUUCUAAGAGAGGAGCCAGAGAACUUCUUGGUCCAAGGCUAUUUGUCCAGAAGCAGUCUGAAAUUGAAAUUCAUAUACAGCUUGAGAAGAAAAAUUAAACUUGUUGUGGAACUGCUGCUAUGAAGUUUAUAGUAAUGAUCUUGAACUACUUAGACCUCUGGCUAUAUCAGAUCCAGAGGACAACUAUUGACAGGAAUUAUGGGGCUGUCUUGAUCUUCACUGUGGGAUCUUCUGUAUGUGAAAAGGGUCAUUUGAAAACACAAGGAAAGUGACCAACCCCAUGAGAACAAACUGUGAAAUAGAUGAAGACGAGUAAGGGGGAGACAGAAGGGGAUCAAGGAAGUUGACUGGGUUUGUCUUCUCUUUUAUUUGUUUUUAUUUUCUUCAGUAAACAUUUUGAACACAGCAUU
This 592-nucleotide long non-coding RNA is filed under the name Zonotrichia albicollis (white-throated sparrow). RNAcentral's name for it is "lncRNA (ENSZALG00000008672.1)". Lineage: Eukaryota; Metazoa; Chordata; Aves; Passeriformes; Passerellidae. The record is from RNAcentral.